GGGGNUCNUUNCAUGCAGUUCGAACGGUAACGCGGGGCAACCUGGCGACGAGUGGCGAACGGGUGAGUAAUGUAUCGGAACGUGCCCAGUUGUGGGGGAUAACUGCUCGAAAGAGCAGCUAAUACCGCAUACGACCUGAGGGUGAAAGCGGGGGAUCGCAAGACCUCGCGCAAUUGGAGCGGCCGAUAUCAGAUUAGGUAGUUGGUGGGGUAAAGGCCUACCAAGCCUACGAUCUGUAGCUGGUCUGAGAGGACGACCAGCCACACUGGGACUGAGACACGGCCCAGACUCNUACGGGAGGCAGCAGUGGGGAAUUUUGGACAAUGGGGGCAACCCUGAUCCAGCCAUGCCGCGUNCGGGAAGAAGGCCUUCGGGUUGUAAACCGCUUUUGUCAGGGAAGAAAUCCUUUGAGCUAAUACCUCGGAGGGAUGACGGUACCUGAAGAAUAAGCACCGGCUAACUACGUGCCAGCAGCCGCGGUAAUACGUAGGGUGCAAGCGUUAAUCGGAAUUACUGGGCGUAAAGCGUGCGCAGGCGGUUAUGCAAGACAGAUGUGAAAUCCCCGGGCUCAACCUGGGAACUGCAUUUGUGACUGCAUGGCUAGAGUACGGUAGAGGGGGAUGGAAUUCCACGUGUAGCAGUGAAAUGCGUAGAUAUGUGGAGGAACACCGAUGGCGAAGGCAAUCCCCUGGACCUGUACUGACGCUCAUGCA
RNAcentral lists this ribosomal RNA (713 nucleotides) under Roseateles depolymerans. Its description in RNAcentral is "bacterial SSU rRNA". It matches the Rfam family "Bacterial small subunit ribosomal RNA", at positions 43 to 753 of the family's 1533-position model. Lineage: Bacteria; Pseudomonadati; Pseudomonadota; Betaproteobacteria; Burkholderiales; Sphaerotilaceae. The record is from RNAcentral.